GGGAGCAUCUGAGCCCGUGCUCAGAAGCGAAUUACUCUGUGCUAUUCUGAACAGAAUAAAAAAAUCAAUAUUGCUGAAUUAUUUUUGAACUAUGGAAGGAAGUGUUUUCACAUAUUUGAGGAAUAUAUGAUCCAAAGUAUUUAUGAGAAUUUUUCAAAUUUUUUUGGAAUGACAGAAUAGUAGGUUGCUUCACAAAUCAGGCGGGUUUGACGCGUGACAUAGAAUACACC
RNAcentral lists this long non-coding RNA (230 nucleotides) under Hordeum vulgare. RNAcentral describes it as "long non-coding RNA (HVUL_LNC006758)". Lineage: Eukaryota; Viridiplantae; Streptophyta; Magnoliopsida; Poales; Poaceae. The record is from RNAcentral.